Molecule: ribosomal RNA, 412 nt
Filed under: uncultured soil bacterium
Lineage: Bacteria
Description: bacterial SSU rRNA
Rfam family: Bacterial small subunit ribosomal RNA
Source: RNAcentral
CAGUCGAGCGCCCCGCAAGGGGAGCGGCAGACGGGUGAGUAACGCGUGGGAAUCUACCCUUUUCUACGGAAUAACGCAGGGAAACUUGUGCUAAUACCGUAUAAGCCCUUCGGGGGAAAGAUUUAUCGGGAAAGGAUGAGCCCGCGUUGGAUUAGCUAGUUGGUGGGGUAAAGGCCUACCAAGGCGACGAUCCAUAGCUGGUCUGAGAGGAUGAUCAGCCACAUUGGGACUGAGACACGGCCCAAACUCCUACGGGAGGCAGCAGUGGGGAAUAUUGGACAAUGGGCGCAAGCCUGAUCCAGCCAUGCCGCGUGAGUGAUGAAGGCCCUAGGGUUGUAAAGCUCUUUCACCGGAGAAGAUAAUGACGGUAUCCGGAGAAGAAGCCCCGGCUAACUUCGUGCCAGCAGCCGCG